GGGAUGCGUGACAUUAGAUAGUAGGCGGGGUAACGGCCCACCUAGUCUACGAUGUCCAGGGGUUCUGAGAGGAAGGUCCCCCACACUGGAACUGAGACACGGUCCAGACUCCUACGGGAGGCAGCAGUGAGGAAUAUUGGUCAAUGGUCGGAAGACUGAACCAGCCAAGUAGCGUGAAGGAUGAAGGUUCUAUGGAUUGUAAACUUCUUUUAUACGGGAAUAAAACCUCCCACGUGUGGGAGCUUGUAUGUACCGUAUGAAUAAGCAUCGGCUAACUCCGUGCCAGCAGCCGCGGUAAUACGGAGGAUGCGAGCGUUAUCCGGAUUUAUUGGGUUUAAAGGGAGCGUAGACGGGAUGUUAAGUCAGUUGUGAAGGGCUGCGGCUCAACCGCAGCACUGCAGUUGAUACUGGCGUCCUUGAGUGCGGUUGAGGUAUGUGGAAUUCGUGGUGUAGCGGUGAAAUGCUUAGAUAUCACGAAGAACUCCGAUUGCGAAGGCAGCAUACUAAGCCGCUACUGACGUUGAGGCUCGAAAGUGUGGGUAUCAAACAGGAUUAGAUACCCUGGUAGUCCACACGGUAAACGAUGAAUACUCGCUGUUGGCGAUAUACAGUCAGCGGCCAAGCGAAAGCAUUAAGUAUUCCACCUGGGGAGUACGCCGGCAACGGUGAAACUCAAAGGAAUUGACGGGGGCCCGCACAAGCGGAGGAACAUGUGGUUUAAUUCGAUGAUACGCGAGGAACCUUACCCGGGCUUAAAUUGCGCUGGACAGAUUGGGAGACCAAUCCUUCUUCGGACCAGUGUGAAGGUGCUGCAUGGUUGUCGUCAGCUCGUGCCGUGAGGUGUCGGCUUAAGUGCCAUAACGAGCGCAACCCUUGCCAUUAGUUACUAACAGGUUAUGCUGAGGACUCUAGUGGGACUGCCAUCGUAAGAUGUGAGGAAGGUGGGGAUGACGUCAAAUCAGCACGGCCCUUACGUCCGGGGCUACACACGUGUUACAAUGGGAGGUACAGAAGGCUGCUACCCGGCGACGGGAUGCCAUUCCCCAAAACCUCUCUCAGUUCGUA
Molecule: ribosomal RNA, 1065 nt
Filed under: uncultured bacterium
Lineage: Bacteria
Description: bacterial SSU rRNA
Rfam family: Bacterial small subunit ribosomal RNA
Source: RNAcentral